RNAcentral lists this transfer RNA (76 nucleotides) under Candidatus Omnitrophota bacterium. RNAcentral's name for it is "Candidatus Omnitrophica bacterium tRNA-Lys". It matches the Rfam family "tRNA". From Rfam's summary of the family: Transfer RNA (tRNA) molecules are approximately 80 nucleotides in length. Their secondary structure includes four short double-helical elements and three loops (D, anti-codon, and T loops). The record is from RNAcentral. Lineage: Bacteria; Pseudomonadati; Candidatus Omnitrophota.
GCCCGCAUAGCUCAAUUGGCAGAGCAGGGGACUCUUAAUCCCAAGGUCCAAGGUUCGACUCCUUGUGCGGGCACCA